RNAcentral lists this long non-coding RNA (7648 nucleotides) under Hordeum vulgare. RNAcentral's name for it is "long non-coding RNA (HVUL_LNC002540)". The record is from RNAcentral. Lineage: Eukaryota; Viridiplantae; Streptophyta; Magnoliopsida; Poales; Poaceae.
UCCACGUUGCCACAUAACCGCGGGCACGGCUUUCCGAAAGAUUUAACCCUGUAGGGGUGCUCCAACUAGUCCAUCACAAAUUACCACAAGCCGCAUAGAAAUCCUCAAUCACGAAGCUCGCGAUCUCGUCGGAUUCCCUAACGGAAAACCUCAACUCUGAGAUUACCCAAAGCAUCACCGGAAUCCCGAUGUACAAGAUAUCUCGUCAAAGGUAAAACUAAUCCAGCAAGGCCGCCCGACGUGUCGACGAACCCGAUAGGAGCCGCGUAUCUCGUUCUCAGGACACGACAGAUGGAACUAGCUACGGGUGCCAAACCUCGAGUUUCCUCGCGGUGGCCCCGCAGGCAGACCGUUUGGGACCAACACCAUCAGCACUGGCCCCCCUGUUUAUGUAAAAUUACUCCUCGGGUAGCGCUAACUCCCUAUGCAUUUCAAUUUAUCAAAAUUAUUAUGUUGGGCAAAUGUAGAACCAAAGUUGGGCCUUGCCAGACCAGCUUUAAUCUAAAACGAAUUAUCAAGGGGGUCCCCAUAACAACCCUGAUCGUGUUAGGAGUGCUCAAUUAUGAAACAUAACACCGGUAGCCGAAACUAACGGGGCAAAGGUGGAACAAAACACCAGGCUAGAAAGGCCGAGCCUUCCACCUUUUACCAAGUAUAUAGGUCCAUUAUAUUAAAUAGCAUUAAUAUGGUGAUAUGACAAGGGACCCAUGUUAUUACAUGGAAGCAACUGCACCUGCAACUAGCAACGCUACACAGGGUUAAGCAAGCGGUAACAUAGCCAAUUAGUGGUUUGCUAGGUCGAACAGGUUGAAGGUUAUCAUGGCAUUGUUGAGAGGCUGAUAUUUAACAUGUGGUAGGAAACGAGACAUAAUCGAUAGAAGCGGUAAAACUAGCAUGACAAUGAUAGUAAUGGUAUCUGGGGAAAUGGUCAUCUUGCCUGAGAUCCCGCUUGGAAGAAGAAUGACUCCGUGAAGGAGACGAACCGAUGUAGUCGAACGGGUCCUCACAAUCCGACACGCUUGCGGAACUCUAUCGAGACGAAGCAAACCGGAAAUACAAAUCAACACACGAUAUUCACCACACGAUGCACAACACAUAUGAUGCAUGAAUGGACUAAUGCAAGGCAUGACAAUCACAACAAUCAAACGCUACACAUUAAGUGAAGCUCGAUAUGCAACGAGUUGCGUAUCGACGAAACUCCACGUUUAAUUAUUAGUUCACACUUGUUUAAUAACACGAUAAUAUUAAAAUGUUGUUAACAUGUCAAGGGGUGAAGCACAAAUUAAACUACCUAUAUAGGCAUUUUAAAUGAGGCCGGAAAUGACAUAUAUCAUCUCCGAAAUGACCCCACGUGUUAAAUCUUAAUUCUGUCCAGAUUUGUUCUAAUCACAAUUUAGGUUAGUUAAACGGAAAAACAAAGUGGUUCACGUGAUUCUAGUCGUCGUUCUGGUCCAUUUACAUAUAUGGCACAUCUCCAACAGAGCUACGGACAAAUAGUUACGACCUAAACCGUUUUAACCACGUCGACACGCAAACCGAUGCAAACAGCACACUAAAUAGACUUAAACAUGCAUGAGAGUUGGAAAUUGUUAAUCUACGCAAAAUUCUAGUCAAGUUUCAUAUAUAACUUGUCUAGAUCCGGUGCACGGUCUAAAAGCCACGGGUGUUUGAAAAUCGAUGCCUUUUUCUGAAAUUCACAAAAUCCUAGUGCAGAAAAAAAAGGAGAAACAAAUAUGGGGCAAGCUGGGAUUCGAUCCGAGGAUACCUUGCAUAGGAAUUGGCUGCGCUAGCCACCCCACCUAGCAUGCUGCUCGUUGACAUGAGCAGUACCCACCGUAUACAACCUAUACUUACCGAACGGAUCUAAGAAAAAAACAACAUAGAUCAGAUACGGGGAUUGCUCACAUCGGGGUACAGAGAGGCCGCGACUAUGGUGAGCUGACGCAGAGAGGGACCGAGGUUUGACGGAUCCGGACAUGGGGAAUCCAUUCCCGGGGACGAGGGGCCUUGGGGUGAUGGGACGGGCGAGCUCCAUCGGCGGCAACAGCAGGCGUCACUCUGUCUCUGAAAGAAAGAAAAGAAGCAUAGAUGAGAGGGAUCAGAGGAGGAAGCAGAAGGAAGGAGGGGUCGCGAGAGAGGUGCGCUGGGCAGAGGGGCUGAGCCGGAACCAGGCUGGAUCUGGCCGACGAUGCGACGAAGGACGCCCGGGCCGGCGCGGGGGAGCUCCCCUCGGAAUCCAUGGCACCUGCAGGUUAGAACAGAGAGAAGGGAAGGUUAGGGAGAGAGGAGAAGAAGAGGAGGAAGGAGAAUGAAAGGAGAGAGCACAACAAGGAUAGGGUCCGACGGGGCUGAUUCUGAAUGUUCGAUCUACUGCUGCAUGCGGUGAGGGGAGGCAAGGCUCCUACCGCAAGGGUGCUGUCCGACUAGGUCCUUAGCAUGCACAGGAGGCUGCUGCAUCAGGCUGGCUCGACGGGCAGAGCAAGGAGGAGACCAGGUGGGGCGAGGGAGUCGGUGAUGUGCUGGGUCGGGCAAGGGCGGCAUUGGUUGGCUACGAGGGGAUCGGGACGAGAUCCCAAGGUGGGAGAGGCUUGCGGCGGCGGGUCGAUGUGACUAGGGAUGGAUGGGUGGAGCGGAAUUCUAGGCUAGGGUUGGACUGCUAUAUAUUCUCGGAUUAGGCUAGGGCUAUCUCAUCCCUUCGAUUGAAAUCGAACGGUCGAAAUUAUUAGGUUAGGGAGACCAAUGAACAAACCGAUGACAGUUUAGGGUAAAACGGGGUUGAUCCGGACCCAACGGUUACGACCGUGUGUUUCGGGUACCGGGAGGUUUUUCGACCCUCCAAUCGCGAACGUGCGGUCCGAUCGGGGAGGCGGGCUAGGGUUAGCUGUGUAGAGUGGCGUUGGCUAAGAAGAGAGGGAAGUGGUGCGGCGCGGCAAUGAUUUAUAACACACCGACAGACGUCCGACGGUAGACCGAAUACGGUGCCGCCACGGUCGACCGUUCGGGUACCAGACGAACUCCGAUCGCGACGAAAUUCGACAGGCGGCCUACCUAGAACUAAUCACGACCGCAUGCCAAGUUUCACCUUGAUCAGAGAAAGUUUUAAACGCACUUUAAAAACAGGGUUUUUAACGAUGCCGCGGGCGCGUGCGUGUGCGGUCGGUCUCAGAACGGACAACGUCGAGAACCGGCAACUACUAACGGAUGCAAGUUUUGAAAACUGGCGGCAACGGGGUGCCGAUGCAAUGCUGAUGAUGCGCAUGAUGCGAUGAUGAUGCGACAAAAGAAAAUAGACACACGACGAAAACGGAAAGAAAAGGGGAAUCUUCUGGAACGUCGGUCUCGGGCUGUCACAACUCUCCUACACUGCAAGAGGAUCUCGCCCCGAGAUCCAGGAAUGAAAGGGGGAGAGGAUGAGAAGGAACAUGAGGUAAAAAUCUUAGCCGCUUCUUUGACAAACGAGUGAAACCAACGAUCCUUGAAGGUUGCAAAGCGAUGAGGAAUGAUAUGAGAAAGAAGCAAGAAUUCACGGAAAAUUUCGGCAGCACUUCGGUAGGAAAAUGGGACAAAAAAUUCGAUAAGAAGAGAGAAUUAGACAAUAUUCAUAACAAACAACUAAAUAUAACAAGGGAGCACCAUGAUCUUGAUAGAACACCAAGAUAGACCCAAAAGAGCAACAUCACAAAGCCUCCGGAACAAAUAGAAUAGGAACUAGCUCAUACGGAAGAAGAGAAUGAAGAGAGAAUGACAACUAGUAACUCCAAUGAACUUGGCAAGCAUCCUUACAAGAAGAAUUGUGCGGAGUUGUUGGAAAAACAACAACGAAAAGAACAAGAAAGUAGUGGGCUUAUGGAAACCCUUUCAAACUAAUGAAGUGACAACCAGCCACUAACAGAAACAAGGAUUGAUUGGGAGAAACAAAAUAUGAACAAUAUCUUACACCAAGAGGAUACAUUGAGAACUUGGAUUAAUGUCAAGCACCAUGAUAGAAACAAUCCAUAGGAAAAGCUUUAGGUGAAAUCCAAACCAGGAUAGCUCAAUGAAGAAAUCAUGGGUUGAAAUAUGUCUCAUGAUCAUAGAAUUGGUGGUUUAAUUAUCUCAUUCUUGAAAGGAAAUCUUUUCGAGGCUCCUACACUAACAAGAAUGCUAUAAUAGCACCUCAAAGGAAAAGGAAUAACAAAUACACUUGGAAAUGCAAGAGAAGAAAAAUUGAGGUUGUCCAAUAAGAUUCUUGAAGAACACUUGAGAAUGGAUUGAAACCUUGAUGAACCACCAAGAAGGACCUCCGUAUACGAAUGAAUGAUGCAAAGAUAUCAAGGUAGAAAUGAAUAAGAUUAAAGGGCUUGCAAUGAUUUAGAUGAAGCUUCAUGAAGAGAUACUUGACAAUACUUGGAACUCCGGAAAGAAAAGAUUAGAACACUUGAGAAAAAGGAAUUGAUAUCACGAGCCACUCCGAAAGAAAGAUUGAAAUCACUAUGAAACAGGAAUAAGAAUUAUGUUAUGCUUAUCCUUCAUCAAGUUAAAUUUAUGACAAGCACCGGAUUUAGCAUACCACUUAUUCUUCUAGAAAUGAUUGAGGAAAUAUAUGAGCACAAACUAGACGAAGUCUUGAAGGAGACACCGGUGAGAAUUGAAAUGAAUGAGGCAACCAUGAAUGACUGGAGAUACAUGAGAAUGAAGAGAUCAUGAGCCACCUGAGAGAAAACUAGAACAAGGCACCGGAUAAUCGAGAGACGAAUGAAGAGACAACAAUUGAGAAGAAUUGAGGAUGAAGCUGAAAACUGAGAACGAAGAAUCUUCUGAAAUGAUGGCCUUCGGAGGAACGAGAAUGAAAACAACACAGAAAUGCACCAGAUAGCAAGAAAGGGAUUACUAACGAUAGAAACAAUUGAGAGGAUAACACGAAGCUGAGAUGACAAUCUUCACAAGAAUGGAGCAAGUUGAGAAUGACGACGAGAGACAGCACCAAGAAUAAUGAGACACUCUGGAAUAAAGAAGAAUGGAAGGUUGAGCCAAUGACGAAAAUAAAUUUGAAGCGAUGUUGAAGAAGGAAUAUGACUGAUGAAAUUCAUACUUACGUCACAUUUGUGAUCUCCGGGCAAGGAUUAAAAGAGCCAGAUAAGAUCCUGGGAAAACCUAUGGGUUAUGGGCCCACUCAAAGAAACCACCAUUGAAAAGAUUGCUUAGAAGAGAGAUAUUGCACCGGUAUGAAGAGAAGUAGAUGAGGCUGAGCACCUUGAAAUAAAUGAAAGAAUUGAAAACAAGAAUUCUGAGAUAACUUCAACGCUCCGGAUAUAAUAGAGAGAAACGACAACAAGAUAGACUGAUAAAAAUUUCCAACAUAGGAAAGAAUUACAAGGAUGAAAAGGAUAUAAUGAACACGGACAACUGAAUUAAAUUCACCGGAAAAAGAUAACCAGAUUGAAGGAAUGAUGCACUAGAACUCCUGAGAAUCUUCACAACGAAUCACCAGCUAGAAAAGGAAGAAGAGAUAGCGGAAGCAUCACUUAAUAUGACGGCACUUGGAUGAAAAUUGAAUCACUGAAGAAAAAGGGAGGGAGGGCGGGGAAAAACAAAGACAACUUGGGCUAGAUUUGAUGAACUCCGGAAUAAAAUGAGAGAAUGAUCUGACAAAAUUGGAGAGGAUAGGAUUACUUGAAGAGAAACACACCGGUUGAAAAGGAUUAACAUGACGACUCCGGUUGACAAGAAUUGAUAAGACGAUUGAUUAAGCAAAAGGAUUAGCCCUCUCAUAUGAAUAUGAGAACACUGCUUAGAAAAGAUGUGAAGUCACCGCUUGACAUCGAAGCAACUUGAAUUACCAUAUUCCAUAAAAGAAAGGGUGCGGCUUGCAAUUAGCCAGAACAAACUCAUGAGAAAGAUUUUGCCCGAUAUUUUCGUGGACAGGAAUCCACUAGAUGUCGAACCCCAACCUAACAUCAUGCAUUUGUUGGAAGAUUAUCCUAUAAGUAACUACUUGAAUUCCCACCUAUGAAUUCCCGAAAUAUCUGGUCAUGCAAUCUGGUACACGGAUACAAGGAGUAAUAACACACAACUCCUAUACUAACCCGUCACCUGUAUCACAUCCGUCAACACACAACCAGAAUCUCGGAUCUUCAUCUACAACAGACCCUCGUGAUCACAACGAUAAAAGUAUGGCAGUACUCCCGAACAAUCUGCACCAGUACUAGGGACAUCGGGGUUAUCUCGCCACUACUAGUAUUGAAGCAAUUACGAACAUCAUUCGUUCUGGGAUACUAAGAAAUCUGAAUGAUAACGAUGUGCUCAAGAAUCCCCUGGAGCUCAACUCCCCUGAAACUUAAAGCAGAUAGGGGGCACCAAGACAGAACUCCGUCACAUUGGCAUUAUCUAGAUCUCAAAAAUAGCCGCAUGAUCCUAAAUUUUUUUUUGAGUGAGAAGAGGAGUAGAAUUAAAUUAUUACGUCAAGAUUCCUCACCAGAGCUAGAAGAGGAGAAAAAAGAAUCCUACUCUCCGAUAUAUAACUAGACUCAAAGUAGUUUUUCUCUAGACUCGGCUCGGCCAAGUUCGAUCAAUCAAGGGGGCUCCUAGGUCGGUACUGCUCUGAUACCAACUUGUCACGCCCAAGAUGAGAUCCUAUCCUCAAUUUGGCACGAAGGCCUCGUCAGCGAUAGAAGCGCAUCUCGUCAUGUCGCAAGAAUGGAUAUCGUUACAUGUACAUGUACUGAAAAGAUGAGAUAUAUAUAUAGGAUUGGUUUACACUCGCCACAAGCUACAUCAGAGUCAUAUCAGUAUAUUACAUAAGCAUCAAGAGUAAGAGCAGGGUCCGACUACGGACGAAAACAAAAGAUAAAAUAAGAACGACGUCCAUCCUUGCUAUCCCAGGCUGCCGGCCUGGAACCCAUCCUAGAUCGAUGAAGAAGAAGAAGNGCCACAGGGGACUCAGCAAUCUCAUUUCCAAAGGUAUCAAGACUAGCAAAGCUUAAUGGGUGAGGUAUGGUUAAGUGGUGAGGUUGCAGCAACGGCUAAGCAUAUAUGAGGUGCCUAAACUUACGAGUACAAGAAAAUAAGAGGGGGAAGAUCUACGCAUAACGAACGUGAGCUACUGAUGAUCAAAUGAAUGAUCCUGAACACCUACCUACGUCAGACAUAACCCCACCGUGUCCUCGAUUGGAGAAGGAACUCACGAAAGAGACAGUCACGGUUACGCACACAGUUGGCAAGUUUUAAUUAAGUUAACUUCAAGUUAUCUAGAACCAGUGUUAAACAAAGUUUCCACGUUGCCACAUAACCGCGGGCACGACUUUCCGAAAGAUUUAACCUUGCAGGGGUGCUCCAACUAGUCCAUCGCAAAUUACCACAAGCCGCAUAGAAAUCCUCAAUCACGAAGCUCGCGAUCUCGUCGGAUUCCCUAAUGGAAAACCUCAACUCUGACAUUACCCAAAGCAUCAGCGGAAUCCCGAUGCACAAGAAUUCUCGUCAAAGGUAAAACUAAUCCAGCAAGGCCGCCCGACGUGUCGACGAACCCGAUAGGAGCCGUGUAUCUCAUUCUCAGGACACGACGGAUGGAACUAGCUACGGGUGCCAAACCUCGAGUUUCCUCGCGGUGGCCCCGCAGGCAGACCGUUUGGGACCAACACCAUCAGCACUGGCCCCCCUGUUUAUGUAAAAU